UGAAAUUUCUUUUGUUACAGUUUGUUUCUCUUCAUCCACAUAUGUUGUUGUUGCUGAUGUAAGACGAUCUUCUUUCGGGUUUGAAUCUUCUGACUUGGGCACCAAUUCAGGGAUUUUUACAUCAUAGACAGAUUCAAGAUCUAGUGGCAAAGUUUUAAGGGUUUCUUCUGUUGUAGUUACUAAUGAACUUGAGGGUACAAUAUCUUCUUGAGGUUUGACUUCUGUUGUUUCAUUUGAAUCCUUAGAUUUUUCUUUUGAUGCUUCAUCCAAACCAUCAUUCUGUUGCUCAACAGGUUCAAUCUCCCUUGUUCUUGCAUCUUGAAAGCACUUUUCUUCUUUAGUUGUAGUGUCAUUUGGAUUCUCUAUGCUGUCAUGGGAUAAAUGUUCAUCCUUUUUUGUGAUUUCCUCUUCUUCUAUAGUUUCACUUAUGGUUUCAGUUGGACCUGCCUGUAUCUCCUCAACAAUUUGUCCUUUAGGUUGACCAAGCUCUGACGACACCUGUUUAAAAUAUAUUUUUUUAAAUAAUUUAAUAUAACAAACAACUGAAUAUCGAAGAAGGUUGAGCUAUAUCUGUUAUAAAAUGAAGUCUUUUGAAUAUUCUAUCUGUUAAAAGAUGAUAUCCAACUUUGAAUGAACAAAUGAAAACAUUUUGAUGUUAUAGUUCCCUUUUUCACAUGUCCACUGACCUCAUCGGUUAAUUCCUUUUCAUCUGAUGUUGUUGUCUUUUCAUCUGCUAAGUCCUUUUCAGGCAAGAUGACAUUCUCCAUGAUGUUUUCAGGGGUGAUGUCUGAUUGUUCUGGUUGAGGCUUUGUUUCCUUAACCUGGUAUUCUUCUAUCACCAUCUUAGACAUGGGUUUGAGUUCUCCAUGUAGUUCUAGAUUCUAUUUUGCAAAAAAUAAACCAAAAUAAUGCAGAUAGUUUUACUUUCCAUAUGACAACAUAAGUGUUCAUGAUAGAGUGAUAUGUCAAUAUGCAUUAACAUCAAAAAUCUUGAAAAUUUUCUAACCUCUGUACUUGAAGUUUCAUUAGCUAUAACUUCAUGUUCUUUCUCUCCAUUGUUUUCAUCUGUAUACUCGGUUGUUGCUGAGACAAUGCUCUCUUCUUUCACUUUUGAGUCUUCUGAAUCAACAACUACUUCAGGGGUUUGUACAUCACAAACAGAUUCAAGAGCCUGUUUGGGUGACUCAUCGAUUUCUAAUGGAUCUGAAUACGAUAUCUGCUUAAAAAAAUUCAUGUUAACACAUAUUCAUACAGCAUGAACAAAAUACUAUUCUCAUCUUUCUGUUAAUAGACUAACCACAGGUGCCUUUUGAUCUUCUGUUGAUUUCUCUUGUAGCUCUGUGGAAUUACUAUAUUCCUCAACAAUCUGUUCUUUGAGGUCAUCUGUUCCCUUUUCCUUUUGUGUCUCUAAAGGUACCUGUUCAAUCUAUAUAACAUUCAUGUAAGCAGACCCCUUUGAUGACUUGAUAGAUAAGCAAGUGGUUAUAUAUUUAUCGUAUUCACCUCUUUAGUCAAGAUGACAUCCUUUGAUAUCUCACUGCAGUCUUCGGUGCUAUUAAGCUGAUUUUCUUGUGUAACAUCCUCUUUUUCAUACAGUGAUUUGUUUUCACCAAUUUCUGUUGUCUGCAACCAUUAGUGUCAAAGUAUGUCAAUAAAGCACAGAAGAAAUGCAAGAAAAAGAUGAUGUGAACUGUAGGGACGUUUUUCUGUCUGACCUCUGCACUUGAAACUUCUUUUGUUUCUGUUUCUUUUUCUUCAUCCACAUGCGUUGCUGUUGUAAGACACUCUUCUUUCAUGUUUGAAUCUUCUGACUCGAGCCCCACUCCAGGGAUUUGUACCUCAGAAACAGUUUCAAGAUCUUCAAGGAAGAUCUCUUUAGUCAUUUCUGUCUGCUCCUGCCUUUCAUCAGUAUUGACCACUGUGGUAGCAUGUUGUCCGAUUGUUGUUUCUUUUAUAUCCUCACUGGAUGCAUUUUGUGAGCUUGUAACAUCAUCUUCACCAUCUUGGACUUCUUCUGACAUUUUGAGGUCUUUUUCUUUUGCUUGAUUUUCCUCUUUGCUCACUGUUUCAUCCUCAUUCAAUUCAGAUUCAACCUUCUCUAAUCCUGUCACUUCAUGGACUUCCUUAACCAGGGAGCUUUCAGACUUUUCUGUUUGACCAUCAUCAUUGACUACAUCCUCCUUUUUUUCUAUGGUUUCGACACUAGAUUUGAUUUCUUCAGUGUCUUCCUCUAUACUUUCUCUAGUUUCAAAAAACUCAGGUUCUUUACCUUCUUCUUGGUAGUUCUUUUUUUGCAAGUCUUCUUCUAAUGCUGCAACCUGUGAGGUUGUUACAUUGUCCUCACCUUGACCUUCUGCCGACAUGUUGACCUGAUCCUUUUCUUGAUCUUCAUCUUUAAAAGUUUCUAUUGCUUUUAUCCCUUCUUCAGAUUCAACCUUUUCCGAACUAGUCUCAUCACAUACCUCUUUGACAGAGUGGAUAGGAGGCGUUUCCAUUUGAUCAUCAUCAUGCUCAAUAGGCUCUUUGUUUUUUUCUUCAGUUUCUGUUUUCUCUUCUUGAGAUUCCACUUGUGCUGAUGUGAAAACAUCAGUUGUGAUGGCAUGUGGCAACUCUCCUUGCUCCACUUUUUCUUUUGUUUUAACAUUUGUGCUUAUAAGUUCAUUAUCUUCCUCCAUGCUUUCUCUAGUUUCAAAAAAUACAUCCUCAGAGGCUGCAACUGUAUCCUGUGAGCAUAUAACUUCAUCCUCACUUUGGUCUUUUUCUGGUAUGUUGAGCUCUUGUUCCUUUUCUUGAUAUUCAUCUUUGCUUAAAAUUUCUAUUUCUUUCUCAUUCUGAUACAUAUCGGAAUUUAUCCCUUCUUCAGAUACAGUCUUCUUUAAGUCAGUCUCUUCACAUACUUCCUGUUGCUCCUUUUCAUCUGUUUCAACACUUGGUUUGAUUUCUUCAGUAUACAUCUCUUGCUCAAAAAUUAUGCUGGCACUUUCUUCUAUUUUAUCUUUUGCUCCAUUAUCAUCAUACUGCUCGCUUGCCUAUAUGAAGAGUGUAUUUUGAGUACAUGGGCAGAAUGGACAAUACAGAACUUGGUAAGUCUAAUGUAUAGUCAAAGUUUGUAAAACAAUCUGUGUAACAGCUUAGUUUAUUGGUCUCUUUUUCAAAAGAAAAUUAUGAGCAGCAUUUGCUCUAAAGUCUAAACUACUUUAUAAAACGGGUUUCCCUUAGAAUUUAUCAUUUUCAUAAAUAUCCACAACUUGCUUUUCUUCUAGUUCUAUACCCCUCCCCAAUUGUACUGUUCAAUUGAAUAAAUCAAGUUCUGUAUUUGAAGUUACACUUAAUAUGCUCUAUAAAAUAUGUAUUUUAUCUUGUUUAGGGCCCUUAAAAUGGUCUAAUAUAUAUAUAUNNNNNNNNNNNNNNNNNNNUAUAUAUAUAUAUAUAUAUAUAUAUAUUUGUAAGAGAUACUUGAACUACCGAGUUGAACAACUUAUGCAUUUGUUACUUUCUCAAACACAUGAGAUGAGAAAUUUUGUAGCAGACAACAUAAUGUCUUGAUAAUUUUAGCAUUGCAAGUUUAGUUGGAAUGAUGUACAAGUAAAACCUUUUGAAAUAAUUAGAGAUUACUUAAGAUGAACAUAAAUUACCUCUUGAGCAUGAAUUGAUUUGUCUUCUAUUUCUUCCUUGAGGAUCUCUUUGGUCAAUGCACUAUCAUCUUUGCUCUCCUCAAAAUCAACCACUGUGGUAACAUGUUGACCAAUUGUUGACUCUUGUAUAUCCUCACACGUUGCAUCUUCUGAACUUGUAACGGCAUCCCCACCACCUUGGACUUCUUCUGGCAUUUUGAGUUCAUGUUCCUUUUCUUGAUUUUCCUCUUUGCUCACUAUCUCAUUCUCAUUCAAUUCAGGUUUAGCCUUCUCUGAUCCUGUCACUUCACACACCUCCUUAACCAAUGGGCUUUCAAACUCAUCAUUGACUAUAGCAUCUUCCUCAAUCUUUUCUUCAUUUUCCAUAGUUUCUUUUUUAGGUUCUAUUUCUGUUGAGCUGCAAACAUCAGUAGUAAUGACAUGCAGCAACCCUUGUUGCUCCAUAUUUUCUUUUGUUUCUAUACUAGAUUCGAUUUCUUCAAUGUUUUCCUCUACACUUUCUCUCGUUUCAACAACUUCAGGUUCUUUACCUUCUUCUUGGUAGUUCUUUUCUUGCAAGUCUUCUUCUAAGGCUGCAACCUGUGAGCUUGUUACAUUAUCCUCGCCUUGACCUUCUGUUGACAUGUCAACCUGAUCCUUUUCUUGUUCUUCAUCCUUGAAAGUUUCAAUAGCUUUUACCUCUUGUUCAGAUUCAACCUUUUUUGAGCUAGUCUCAUCGCAUACCUCCUUGGUAGUCUCUUCAUAAACCUCCUUCAUAGACUCUUCAUUCUUUUGUUCAGUUUCCGUGGUCUCUUCUUGAGAUUCUGUUUGUGCUGAUAUGCAAGCUACCUCUUGAGCAUCACUUGGUUUUUCCUCUGUUUCUUCCAUAAGGAUCUCUUUAGGCAUUAAACCUAUCGCUUGUCCCUCCUCUAAAUAGGCCACUGUAGUGUCCUGUUGACCAACUGUUGUUUCUUUUAUAUCCUCACACGUUGCAUCUUUUGAACUUGUAGUUGUAACAUCAUCCCCUAAACCUUUUCCUGACACAUAAACCUCUUGUUCCUUUUCUUCAUCUUCAACUUUGUUCACUAUUUCUUUCUCAUUUGUUGUUUCUUUUACCUCUUCGCUAUAUUCAACUUUCUCUGAACUGGUCUCUUCACAUACUUCAUUGACUGGGGAGCUGUCAACAUUUUCCUUUUGACCAUUAUCACUCUGAAUAGGCUCGUCACUUUUUACUUCAUGUUCUUCACUUUCUACCUGAGAUUUUGUUUGUGAUGUGAUGCAAUCAUCAUGCAACAGUUCUUGCUGCUUGGUUUCAACACUUGGUUUGAUUUCUUUAGUAUCUUCCUCUUGCUCAAUCUCUGAACAAGAUUGAACAGUUUUGUUGUCGCUUUCAUCAGGCUUUUGUUCUGUUUUGUCCUAUUAGAGAAAAAGUAUUCAGUUAGAUAUGAUGAUUUAUAUAAAUAGGCUCAAAGUUUUUAAAAACAAUCUCUGUGGUAGGUUUUUUUCAUUGUUCUUUUUUAAGAUAAUUGUGAGUGACAGUUGUUCUUUAUAACAUUAACAUGAUUCUACAUUGCUUAGUAAUAAAACAUUAAAAGUUUUAGUAGGAAAGAUAUACAAGUAAAACCUUUUGGAUUGUUCAGAGUUAACAUGGGAUGAACACGAAUUACCUCUUGAGCAUCAAUUGCACUCUGAUUCGGCUCCUCGAACUCGAUAUCAGCCACUGGGGUAGCCUUUUGACCAAUUAUUGUUUCUUUUAUAUCCUCGCUGGAUGCAUUCUGUGAGCUUGUAACAUCAUCUCCACCACCUUGGACUUCUUUUGACAUUUUAAUCUCUUGUUCCUUUUCUUGAUUUUCCUCAUUGUUCACUAUUUCAUUCUCAUUCAAUUCAGAUUCAGCCUUCUCUGAGCUUGUUGCUUCACAUACUUCCUUCACCAAGGGGCUUUCAGACUUAUCUGUUUGACCAUCAUCAUUCACCAAUGCCUCUUCAUCAAUCUUUAUAUCAUCUUUUGUUUCGGCACUAGAUUUGAUUUCUUCAGUAUCUUCCUCUAAAUACUCUCUAGGUUUGACAAAUUCGGGUUCCUUACCUUCAUCAUCAUAUUUUGUUUCUGGUAAGUCCUGUAUAGAAGUUGCAUCUUGUGAGAAAGUGACAUCAUCUUUUCCUUGGUCUUCUUCUGAAAUGAUGGACUCUUGUUCUUGUUCUUGUUCUUUUUCUUUUUCUUGAUGUUCAUCUUUGUCAGAAGGUUCUACCCCUUCAAAUUUACCCUUCUCUAAGUGAGUUUCUUCACAUACUUCAGUCACAUCUUCAUCGUCUGUAAUCUUUACCUGCUCCUUUUCAUCUGUUUCCACACUUGGCUUGAUUUCUUCAGCAUUUUCAUUUUUGUUGACACUUUCCUCGGGCUUUUGUUCUAUUUUUUCAUUUGCUCCACUCUCAUCCUGCUCACUUGCCUAUAUGAACACAAGUAUUUUGAGUACAUGUGGAGAAUAAAAGUAACACAUCAUGAUAAGUCUAAUGCAUAGUCAAACUUUUAAAACAAUCUUUGUGGCAGCUUCAAAAAAAUUUGUGAGCCAAAUUUGCUAUAAACUACUUUAUAGAAUGGUUUUCUCUAAACAUUUAUCGUUUUAUGAACUCUAACUCUUCUCAACAAAUGAAACUAAACGUUUGGAUGAGACAAGCAUUUGACAUUAAAAUUAUGUAUGAAAAUCAUAAUAUUGUCUUAUACUUUUAUAAAUUAAACAUAAAACUAGUAAGAAUUAGCCUUAACAUUUAACAAUACAUUAGUAUAAUAUGUGAUUUUUAGUUUCUCUUACACAUGAGAUAAGAAAAUAUGUAGCAGACAACAACAUUUCCAUAUGUCAUAAUGAUUAUAGCAUUUCAAAUUCUAGUAAGACUGAUCUACAAUUAAAACUGUAAAACCUUUUAGGAAUAGUUAGGUUUACUUAGAAUGAACAUGAAUUACCUCUUGCACAUCAGUUGAUUUGUCCUCUGCUUCUUCCUUAAGGAUCUCCUUAGGCGUUGAGUUUAGAGCCUGUUCCUCCUCUAAAUAGGCCACUGUAGUAACAUGCUCACCAGUUGUUGUUUCUUUUAUAUCCUCAAAUGUUGCAUCUUGUGAACUUGUAACAUCAUCCCCUAAACCUUUUCCUGACACAUAAACCUCUUGUUCCUUUUCUUCAUCUUCAACUUUGCUUGCUAUUUCGUUUUCAUUCAGAUCGAUAUUAACACUGUCAGAAAGUUUUAACCCUUCUUCAGAUUCAACCUUCUCUGAGACAGUCUCUUCACAUACUUCCUUCACCAUGGUCUCUGUAUUAGAACUAUCAGAGUAGUUCACCUCUUCUUUAUAUUCAAUUUUCUCUGAACUAGCCUCUUCACAUACUUCAACACUUGGUUUGGUUUCUUCAGUAUCUUUCUCUUGCUCAAUUUCUGAACCAGACUGUACAAUUUUGUUGUCACUUUCUGCAGACUUUUGUUCUUUUUUGUCCUAUUAGAGAAGAAAUAUUCAGUAUAUUAUACGACUGAAAGAAAAGAAAUGAUGAUUUAUAUAAACAGGCUUAAAGUUUUUAAAAACAAUCUUAAGGGUAGGUUUUUUUCAUUGUUAUUCUAUAAAAUAAAUGUGAGCGACAGUUGUACUUUAUAACAUGAAUCUACAUUGGUUAGUGAUAAAAAAAAGCAUUUCAAGUUUUAGUUGGAAUGAUGUACAAGUAAAACCUUUUGGAUUGUUUAGGAGUUAACAUGGUAUGAACAUGAUUUACCUCUUGAACAUCAAUCACACUCUGAUUCUGCUCCUCGAACUCGAUAUUAGCCACUGGGGUAGCCUGUUGACCAAUUGUUGUUUCUUUUAUAUCCUCACUGGAUGCAUUCUGUGAUCUUGUAACAUCAUCUCCACCACCUUGGACUUCUUCUGACAUUUUAAGCUCUUGUUCCUUUUCUUGAUUUUCCUCUUUGCUCACUAUUUCGUUCUCAUUCAAUUCAGAUUCAGCCUUCUCUGAGGUUGUCGCAUCAUAUACUUCCUUCACCAAGGGGCUUUCAGACUUCUUUGUUUGAUCAUCAUCAUUCACUAAUGCCUCUUCAUCAAUCUUUAUAUCAUCUUUUGUAUCAGCACUAGAUUUGAUUUCUUGAGUAUCUUCGUCUAUAUUCUCUCUAGGUUUGACAAAUACAGGUAAGUUCUCUAUAGUGGUUGCAUCUUGUGAGCAUGUGAUAUCAUCUUUUCCUUGGUCUUCUUCUGAAAUGAUGGACUCUUGUUCUUUUUCUUUUUCUUGAUCUUUAUCAUUGUCAGAAGGUUCUACCCCUUCAAAAUUUCCCUUCUCUAAUUGAGUUUCUGCACAUACUUCAAUCACAUCUUCUUCAUAGUCUGUAAUCUUCACUUGUUCCUUUUCAUCUAUUUCCACACUUGGCUUGAUUUCUUCGGUAUCUUCAAUUUUGUUGACAAUUUCCUCGGGAUUUUGUUCUAUUUUUUCGUUUGCUCCACUCUC
RNAcentral lists this long non-coding RNA (8080 nucleotides) under Lactuca sativa (garden lettuce). Its description in RNAcentral is "long non-coding RNA (LSAT_LNC004763)". The record is from RNAcentral. Lineage: Eukaryota; Viridiplantae; Streptophyta; Magnoliopsida; Asterales; Asteraceae.